This 401-nucleotide long non-coding RNA is filed under the name Brassica napus (rape). RNAcentral's name for it is "long non-coding RNA (BNAP_LNC011264)". Lineage: Eukaryota; Viridiplantae; Streptophyta; Magnoliopsida; Brassicales; Brassicaceae. The record is from RNAcentral.
UUUUUCUCUGCCUUCCCAAAAGAAGACCUAACGACAACAAUUUUAGCAAUCUGUGACGAAACGCUUUCUCCCACAAUAAUCAUCAAUCUUCCUUCAUUAAUUUUCCAGAGGUGUCCUCUUCACCUUCUUGAGCUUCCCACUAUAAAAUUCACUCCGCAUACAAGAAUAAGUAUCAGCUAUCGCAUCCAUGGCUAACAAGAUAUCAAAAUCAACGACGACAGAACCCUCCAUUGAGGUCUUUAACGACGUUGCUACGGGUAGGGAGAGACCAGGAAUCAUCUCAACCACAUCCAUUUUUAGGGAGAUUGCACACGGCAGGCGGAAGUGUCUGAUUGCUGUAGAGAUGCUGCUCAUCUACGAACAGGUAGUGAUUCUAUUUUCUAUUCCUAUAUUAUCCCUAU